This 432-nucleotide ribosomal RNA is filed under the name uncultured bacterium. RNAcentral's name for it is "partial 16S ribosomal RNA". It matches the Rfam family "Bacterial small subunit ribosomal RNA", at positions 29 to 506 of the family's 1533-position model. The record is from RNAcentral.
AACGAACGCUGGCGGCAUGCCUAACACAUGCCAGUCGAACGAGACCUUCGGGUCUAGUGGCGCACGGGUGCGUAACGCGUGGGAACCUGCCCUUAGGUUCGGAAUAACUCCCCGAAAGGGGUGCUAAUACCGGAUAAUGUCUUCGGACCAAAGAUUUAUCGCCUUUGGAUGGGCCCGCGUUGGAUUAGCUAGUUGGUAGGGUAAAAGCCUACCAAGGCGGCGAUCCAUAGCUGGUCUGAGAGGAUGGUCAGCCACACUGGGACUGAGACACGGCCCAGACUCCGACGGGAGGCAGCAGUGGGGAAUAUGGGACACUGGGCGAGAGCCGGAUCCAGCAAGGCCGCGAAAGUGAUGAAGGCGGUAGGAUUGUAAAGCUCUUUUACCCGGGAUGAUAAGGACAGUACCGGGAGAAUAAGCCCCGGCAAACUCCGG